GAUGAACGCUGGCGGCGUGCUUAACACAUGCAAGUCGAACGGGAAACCUUUUAUUGAAGCUUCGGCAGAUUUAGCUGGUUUCUAGUGGCGGACGGGUGAGUAGCGCGUGGGUAACCUGCCCUAUACAGGGGGAUAACAACCAGAAAUGGUUGCUAAUACCGCAUAAGCGCACAGGGCCGCAUGGUCCGGUGUGAAAAACUCCGGUGGUAUAGGAUGGACCCGCGUUGGAUUAGCCAGUUGGCAGGGUAACGGCCUACCAAAGCGACGAUCCAUAGCCGGCCUGAGAGGGUGAACGGCCACAUUGGGACUGAGACACGGCCCAGACUCCUACGGGAGGCAGCAGUGGGGAAUAUUGCACAAUGGGGGAAACCCUGAUGCAGCGACGCCGCGUGAAGGAAGAAGUAUCUCGGUAUGUAAACUUCUAUCAGCAGGGAAGAUAGUGACGGUACCUGACUAAGAAGCCCCGGCUAACUACGUG
Molecule: ribosomal RNA, 478 nt
Filed under: uncultured bacterium
Lineage: Bacteria
Description: partial 16S ribosomal RNA
Rfam family: Bacterial small subunit ribosomal RNA
Source: RNAcentral